CCCUUAGACGUUCUGGGCCGCACGCGCGCUACACUGACCAGUGCAACAAGCAUCCGUCCUUGGCCGACAGGCCCGGGCAAUCUUUGAACGCUGGUCGUGAUGGGGAUAGACUUUUGCAAUUUUUGGUCUUCAACGAGGAAUUCCUAGUAAACGCAAGUCAUCAACUUGCAUUGAUUACGUCCCUGCCCUUUGUACACACCGCCCGUCGCACCUACCGAUAGAAUGGUCCGGUGAAGCCUCCGGAUUGGCGCGCACCUCGGUGCCGCCGAGAAGUUGGCUAAACCUUACCAUUUAGAGGAAGGUGAAGUCGUAACA
This 315-nucleotide ribosomal RNA is filed under the name uncultured eukaryote. RNAcentral's name for it is "partial 18S ribosomal RNA". It matches the Rfam family "Eukaryotic small subunit ribosomal RNA", at positions 1470 to 1796 of the family's 1831-position model. The record is from RNAcentral.